GGAGGGGUGCCCGAGCGGUCGAAGGGGCACGGCUGGAAACCGUGUGCACCCUAACCGGGUGCCGCGGGUUCGAAUCCCGCCCCCUCCGCCA
RNAcentral lists this transfer RNA (91 nucleotides) under Aquificota bacterium. RNAcentral describes it as "tRNA-Ser". It matches the Rfam family "tRNA". From Rfam's summary of the family: Transfer RNA (tRNA) molecules are approximately 80 nucleotides in length. Their secondary structure includes four short double-helical elements and three loops (D, anti-codon, and T loops). Further hydrogen bonds mediate the characteristic L-shaped molecular structure. tRNAs have two regions of fundamental functional importance: the anti-codon, which is responsible for specific mRNA codon recognition, and the 3' end, to which the tRNAs corresponding amino acid is attached (by aminoacyl-tRNA synthetases). tRNAs cope with the degeneracy of the genetic code in two manners: having more than one tRNA (with a specific anti-codon) for a particular amino acid; and 'wobble' base-pairing, i.e. permitting non-standard base-pairing at the 3rd anti-codon position. Lineage: Bacteria; Pseudomonadati; Aquificota. The record is from RNAcentral. RNAcentral also lists the same sequence under 1 other name.